CUAUAUCUAUCUUAUUUCUCUUAUUUUCUUACAAAGACACUAACAAUUGAAAUUUACCACCAUGUUGUCACACUUCAUUCCCACCUUGAUAAAAAUGAAACAGAAAUUUAGCACAGCUGGCUCUUCUGCUGUGGGUCCUCUCAAGUGAGGAACUUGAGAAAUUGUGAGAAAUGAGUGGAAAUUUGGGUUGAGUCCAUGCUAAAAAGAUAAUGAAAUUAAAGAGAGUCACGGUGGCAUCCUUUCCCUUCUACACCAAGCAACACCUGGAAUUUACAUUCCCUGGUUCCUCAAAAUGGAUCAAAUCCAAUCCCUGGAUUUCAAGCAAAAGAUGGAGAAUGAUAAGACAUGAGCUCUUGGGCACAACCAAACCAAUUUGAAGUAGAGAAGGAAAAAAAAAAAAAAAAAGAACAAAGCAUUAU
Molecule: long non-coding RNA, 419 nt
Filed under: Glycine max (soybean)
Lineage: Eukaryota; Viridiplantae; Streptophyta; Magnoliopsida; Fabales; Fabaceae
Description: long non-coding RNA (GMAX_LNC004209)
Source: RNAcentral